AUUUUAUUUUCAAGAUAAGAAAUUCAGUUACUCAAUAUAUAAUAUCUUAAAUUAUUUUUUAAAAAAUAUACAUAAUUUAUAUAUAUAGAUUAAUCUUCCAAACUUAAACUAUUAUAUUAUAUAUGAAUAAUUUUUUUAAAUAAAAACAAUUUCUGAUUAAAAUAAAUAAAUAAAAAAACAAAUGGUUAAACAUCAAUAUCAUCUAGGUUAAGU
Molecule: long non-coding RNA, 213 nt
Filed under: Brassica rapa (field mustard)
Lineage: Eukaryota; Viridiplantae; Streptophyta; Magnoliopsida; Brassicales; Brassicaceae
Description: long non-coding RNA (BRAP_LNC006442)
Source: RNAcentral